RNAcentral lists this ribosomal RNA (558 nucleotides) under Triticum aestivum (bread wheat). Its description in RNAcentral is "partial small subunit ribosomal RNA". Lineage: Eukaryota; Viridiplantae; Streptophyta; Magnoliopsida; Poales; Poaceae. The record is from RNAcentral.
AUGGCGAUCAAGUCUCUAGUUCUUCUUGGUGUCGUACUAGCCUCGCUCCUGCUUCUCUCCGAGGAUGUAGCGGGUGCUAGAGAGCUUACAGAUGCUAAAGAAUCCAAGAAGAAGAAUGUGAAACCUGCAGGAGGGUCGGGCCUGCCUAAGGAAGAGAAGUGGGGAGGUGGAAACAAGCAUGAUGGAGGAUACAGAGACGGUGAAGGGUAUGGAAACGGUGGAGGGUAUGGCGCUGGUGGAUACGGUAAUGGUGGGGGAUAUGGAAACGGUGGCGGAGGUUAUGGCUAUGGAGGUUAUGGAAACAAUGGUGGUGGGUAUGGUGGAGGAUACGGCAAUUCUGGGCACGGUGGCGGUUAUGGGCGUGGUUACGGCGGUGGAGGCUAUGGACCCGGAUAUGGUGGCGGGUAUGGCAAUGGCGAUGGAAAUGGUGGAUUUGGCAGCGGCUUUGGUGGGGGAUAUGGUGGUGGCGGCGGAUAUGGUGGAGGUGGAGGAUACGGUGGUGGUGGCGGAUAUGGUGGAGGUUACAACGGAGGAUCUGGUGGCGGUGGCUAUCCCUGA